CCUACGGGUGGCAGCAGUAGGGAAUCUUUCACAAUGGGCGAAAGCCUGAUGGAGCAACGCCGCGUGCAGGAUGAAGGCCUUCGGGGUGGAAACUGCUUUUAUAAGCGAGAAAUAUGAUGGUAACUUAUGAAUAAGGAUCGGCUAACAACGGGUCAGCAGCCGCGGUCAUACGUAGGAUCCGAGCGUGAUCCGGAGUAACUGGGGGUAAAGAGUUGCGUAGGUGGGAUAAUAAGUAGCUAGUGAAAUCUGGUGGCACAACCAGUCAGACUAUUAGCUAAACUGUCAAGCUCGAGACCGUUGGGGGUAAGUGGAAUUUGUAGUGUAGGAGUGAAAUCCGUAGAUAUUAGAAGGAACACCGAUAGCGUAGGCAGGUUACUGGGACGGUUCUGACACUGAGGCACGAAAGUGUAGGGAGCAAACGGGAUUAGAUACCCCAGUAGUC
RNAcentral lists this ribosomal RNA (442 nucleotides) under uncultured bacterium. Its description in RNAcentral is "partial 16S ribosomal RNA". It matches the Rfam family "Bacterial small subunit ribosomal RNA", at positions 338 to 795 of the family's 1533-position model. The record is from RNAcentral.